This 465-nucleotide ribosomal RNA is filed under the name uncultured bacterium. Its description in RNAcentral is "partial 16S ribosomal RNA". It matches the Rfam family "Bacterial small subunit ribosomal RNA", at positions 28 to 507 of the family's 1533-position model. The record is from RNAcentral.
GAUGAACGCUGGCGGCGUGCUUAACACAUGCAAGUCGAACGGAAAGGCUCCUGCUUGCCGGGGUACUCGAGUGGCGAACGGGUGAGUAACACGUGGGUGAUCUGCCCUGCACUUCGGGAUAAGCCUGGGAAACUGGGUCUAAUACCGGAUAGGACGAUGGUUUGGAUGCCAUUGUGGAAAGUUUUUCGGUGUGGGAUGAGCUCGCGGCCUAUCAGCUCGUUGGUGGGGUAAUGGCCUACCAAGGCGUCGACGGGUAGCCGGCCUGAGAGGGUGUACGGCCACAUUGGGACUGAGAUACGGCCCAGACUCCUACGGGAGGCAGCAGUGGGGAAUAUUGCACAAUGGGCGCAAGCCUGAUGCAGCGACGCCGCGUGGGGGAUGACGGCCUUCGGGUUGUAAACUCCUUUCGCUAGGGACGAAGCGCAAGUGACGGUACCUGGAGAAGAAGCACCGGCUAACUACGUG